GACGAACGCUGGCGGCGUGCUUAACACAUGCAAGUCGAACGGAAAGGCCCUGCUUUUGUGGGGUGCUCGAGUGGCGAACGGGUGAGUAACACGUGAGUAACCUGCCCUUGACUUUGGGAUAACUUCAGGAAACUGGGGCUAAUACCGGAUAGGAGCUCCUGCUGCAUGGUGGGGGUUGGAAAGUUUCGGCGGUUGGGGAUGGACUCGCGGCUUAUCAGCUUGUUGGUGGGGUAGUGGCUUACCAAGGCUUUGACGGGUAGCCGGCCUGAGAGGGUGACCGGCCACAGUGGGACUUGAGAUACGGCCCAGACUCCUACGGGAGGCAGCAGUGGGGAAUAUUGCACAAUGGGCGGAAGCCUGAUGCAGCAACGCCGCGUGCGGGAUGACGGCCUUCGGGUUGUAAACCGCUUUCGCCUGUGACGAAGCGUGAGUGACGGUAAUGGGUAAAGAAGCACCGGCUAACUACGUG
RNAcentral lists this ribosomal RNA (469 nucleotides) under uncultured bacterium. RNAcentral describes it as "partial 16S ribosomal RNA". It matches the Rfam family "Bacterial small subunit ribosomal RNA", at positions 28 to 507 of the family's 1533-position model. The record is from RNAcentral.